RNAcentral lists this long non-coding RNA (470 nucleotides) under Junco hyemalis (dark-eyed junco). RNAcentral describes it as "lncRNA (ENSJHYG00000006164.1)". Lineage: Eukaryota; Metazoa; Chordata; Aves; Passeriformes; Passerellidae. The record is from RNAcentral.
CUCCAGCUGAAAGUUCAUUUUUUGCCCAUGACACCAAAUGUUAUUUGCUGCGGUGCACCCCAGCUGUGUAGGAUGUUUUGCUCCAAAGGGAGAAGUUCUCAGUGAGACACAUGGCACUGAACAAGAAGGAAAUCUUUGUUGCUGAAAAGGCUUUGGCACAUGGCACACAAUUUCUUUCCAAGGAUUUGGUACACUGUGUGGACUUUAUUCUUUGUGGGCUUUAUUGUUUGUGGCAAGAAGACAAUUUUUCAAGCCCUUGUUCCUUCACACCAAAGCCCUGAUUUCACAAAAGCUUCUGGACUCACUCAGGGCAAUAUGUUCUCAGUGACUGAAAAGCCAGCUCCUCACGAGCGGUAAGUAAUAUCAUCGCCAGACUUUUCACGUUCUCUGCAAUCAAUGAUGACUUUUCUGAAAACCAAUGACAGAGGGUGGUCCUGAAUAAAAAUUACAUAAUUUAGCCUUAGGAAACA